Long non-coding RNA from Hippoglossus stenolepis (Pacific halibut), 1134 nucleotides. RefSeq lists it as uncharacterized. The transcript has 3 exons. The record is from RefSeq and is a predicted model, not a curated record. Lineage: Eukaryota; Metazoa; Chordata; Actinopteri; Pleuronectiformes; Pleuronectidae.
AUGGCUGCCAGCUUGGCCCAAGGAGAACCAUAUACGUCACCUGCCUCCAGAUCAGCCAAUAGCAACAUUCCAUUGCAAUAGCUGGGUUUCAACCAGUAGAGGGCAGUGGCUAUGCAUAUUUAUAAACACACUAUGUAGAAUUCAAAUACUUUGCACUAAAAUGUCAAGAUUUGGACCUGAAUCUAUCAACAACACUACUAAAUACCCAUAUACACUGGUUUUCAGCUGAAAAAAGUGGUUUGGGGGUUUAAUCACUCAUACAAUCCUGUUAUCAGGAGCAGGCCAUACAAUAGUCAACAUACCUGUAGCUCGAAUUGUGUCAUUCUUGAAAAGUUAGCAAUAUAGCUUGAUUGUUAUGUUGACAACACAAAAGCUGUUAGCUGUCGGUUUUAAUUUCAGGUGGAGGAAGCCACUGAGACAACAAUUCAAGGUCUCACAGAGGAGAUCUUGAAUGGUGGGUACACAGGAUCAAUCACUUUGGAGAAAAAGGAUGAAAUAAUCCGGCUGAUGCAGAUUUCGUCAUCUCUGUGUGCCAAGCACAAUUCAGCGAGAGAGGCACAAACAAGGAACAGGUGGAAAUGACUGAAUCAUCUGCAGGAUUUCAUCCAGGAACUGGAGCAAGAUGAAACUGAAUCAGGGAUGGAGAAAGCUGCACUUCCCUCAUUGUCUCCAAAAUCAUUUCUGCAGUGGAUUACAGGGCAAGGCCAUGUUCCAGUCCUGCAAGAAGACAAGAGAUGUUUCAAAGUGAAUGUAAAGUUCAAUCAUCACUGCCAGUCAGAUUUUGGGGAACACAGGAUAUGCUAUCCAUCUGUGGCAGCUUGCACUAGCACCAUCACCUUCUCUGUUCAACAUAUGAGAUCAUAGAUCAUAGAUCACAUAGAUCAGAGAUCACUUUAAAGUAAUUCUGGUAGAGGAAUUCCACCUGGGACAAGAAUUCUCAAGGGUGUAGAUUAAUAAGUUGUUCAUACAACUGUUGUGGCUGGUUUGGUAGGGAAUGUAAAUGUACAACCUUGUUUAUCCGUCAAUGUGUUUUCAUUUCAGUAGUUCAAGUUUAAUGAAAUGUAAUGUUCAAUUGUCAUUCACUGUAUGACAAAUAGUUGAAAAAGUUUUAAGGAGAAACACUGCCACAGAUGG